This 460-nucleotide ribosomal RNA is filed under the name uncultured bacterium. RNAcentral's name for it is "partial 16S ribosomal RNA". It matches the Rfam family "Bacterial small subunit ribosomal RNA", at positions 338 to 795 of the family's 1533-position model. The record is from RNAcentral.
CCUACGGGAGGCAGCAGUGAGGAAUAUUGGUCAAUGGGCGCUAGCCUGAACGAGCCAAGUAGCGUGAAGGAUGACUGCCCUCUGGGUUGUAAGCUUCUUUUAUAUGGGAAUAAAGUGCAGUAUGUAUACUGCUUUUCAUGUACCUUAUGAAUCAGGAUCGGCUAACUCCGUGCCAGCAGCCGCGGUAAUACGGAGGAUACGAGCGUUAUCCGGAUUUAUUGGGUUUAAAGGGAGCGUAGGCGGGUUGCUAAGUCAGUUGUGAAAGUUUGCGGCUCAACCGUAAAAGUGCAGUUGAUACUGGCAGCCUUGAGUACAGUAGAGGUAGGCGGAAUUCGUGGUGUAGCGGUGAAAUGGUUAGAUAUCACGAAGAACUCCGAUUGCGAAGGCAGCCUGCUGGACUGUAACUGACGCUGAUGCUCGAAAGUGUGGGUAUCAAACAGGAUUAGAUACCCCUGUAGUC